RNAcentral lists this long non-coding RNA (528 nucleotides) under Mytilus galloprovincialis (Mediterranean mussel). Lineage: Eukaryota; Metazoa; Mollusca; Bivalvia; Mytilida; Mytilidae. The record is from RNAcentral.
AAUCUUGAUCUUCAUACUAGCAAUACUGGUAGUUAUUCUAUUUCAAGCAAUAUCUCUUCUUUUUAGUGACGUAGCUUUAUAAUCUUGAUCUUCAUAUUAGCAAUACUGGUAGUUAUUCUAUUUCAAGCAAUAUCUCGUCUUUUAGUGAAGUAGCUUUAAUAAUCUUGAUCUUCAUACUAGUAAUACUGGUAGUUAUUCUAUUUCAAGCAAUAUCUCUUCUUUUUAGUGACGUAGCUUUAUAAUCUUGAUCUUCAUAUUAGCAAUACUGGUAGUUAUUCUAUUUCAAGCAAUAUCUCUUCUUUUAGUGAAGUAGUUUAAUAAUUUUGAUCUUUAUCAUUUAGCAAUGUAUUUUCAAUAAUUGAAUUAUUAGACUUCUUGAUCUUGAUAUUUUUAUUGAUACAAGUUUUUGAUGAUUGAAUUGUUGAAAUGUUGAUCUUUAUAUAUUUAGCAAUAUCUUUCUUUGUUAUAUUGUUUUUGUUUUUUGAAUACAUUGAUUUAUUUUACAUUUUUUGUGAAUUGUUAAUGCUC